CUUUGCCACUUUGUAGGGUGUAUUGAGUAGUGUCUGAUAGUGUGUGUUGUGAGUUUUUGUCAUCUUGUAUGUUACGUUAAUGUAGGAAUAUACCGCUUGUGCAAGUUUAAUAGCUUUAAGUAAUCAUCAAAGACAGAAGAACGUUCGUAUGUAUGGUAGCACCAUAACUGAUUAAUGUAAUAUUUUUGCUCACAAUCGUGUUAACUGCUCAGCUUUUGGUUAUAUUUAUAUAUAGAUGCCAUGAGUUUGGGAGACGUAAGAAGUGACUCGGAAGAAGAAGGUGAUAAGUCUAGGAGUGUCAGUCCUGACUCACAAAGAUCAGCUAGUGUAGCAAGGAGCAGAUCAAGAUCAAAAUCAAAUUCUGCCAGUCCUAAAUCUUCACCAGUCAGAUCUAAUCUAUCAUCUCCAGUACGGAAUGGAUCACCAGCUUCUGUUCAUUCCAAUGUUAGCUCCAAAAAAUCUUACUCUAGAACACCAUCGAGAUCACCAUCACCAAGUAGAUCUGUUUCACCAUCAAAUGGAAAACGGGGACGAUCUAGAUCAAGCUCUAAAUCUGGCUACAGAAGAAGCACAUCAAGAUCACGUUCGAAAUCUCGUUCUCCAGGACUUACGGAGAAAGAUGUGAGAAAUAGCUCACAAUCGCCGCAUUCCCAUCGCUCAAUAAAAUCAGGCUCAAGAUCUAGAAGCUCUUCUCGAUCUGGAUCAAGAAAAAGCUCUCACGCAGCAUCAAGAAAUAACUCACGUUCUCGAUCUAGAUCAAAUUCGGUAAAACUUGAUAACUCUUCACCUAGAGAUAUUUCACCAAAAACAAAUUUUCGAUCAUCCUCAAGGUCUCCUUCACCUCAGGCAGCUUCCAAAUCACAAUCUCGUUCGAGGUCACGUUCCCGAUCUCGGUCUGGUUCCCCGAAAGAAACUAUUCGCUCUCCUUCUCCGCCUGGUACUCCCAAAUCUUCUCACAGAUCCAGAUCCAGAUCUAGAUCGGGAUCGGCCAGAUCUAGCCCGAGAAUCAAAAGUGGCUCAAAAUCAAGAUCAAGAUCACCAUCUGGAUCAAAAAGAGGUUCUCCCUCACCUCCCGCAUCGCCAAAUCGAUCUCCAGCUACCGCCAGGCAAUCACGUUCGAGAUCAAAAUCACGCUCAAGAUCCAAAUCACGUUCUGCGAAAGGUUCUCCCGAAUCAAGGAAGAGUUCUCGUUCUAGAUCUCGUUCCAAUUCAGUAGGAAGAAAAUCUAAGUCAAGGUCUAGAUCAAGAUCUGGUUCCGGAUCUAGAAAACAAUCAAGAUCGCCCUCGGCGGAAGGAAGAGCUUUAUCACGUUCGAAGUCCAGAUCAAAAUCUAGAUCGGUAUCGGGUUCGAGAAAAAGCUCGAGAUCGCGAUCCAGAUCGCACAAAUCUGGGUCAAGGUCCAAGUCGAGAUCCGUAUCAGGAUCACGUAAAGGUUCUGUAUCUCCAGCGCGCUCGGGAAGGAAUUCACGUUCUAGAUCCCGUUCUAGCUCGCAUUCCAGUAAAUCUAAAUCGAGAUCUCGUUCCGGUUCAAGAGCAUCUCGUUCAAGAUCUCGUUCUGGGUCUAGGAAAUCUGUAUCGAGAUCGAAAUCAAGAUCACGAUCUCGUUCAAGAUCAAAGUCUGGCUCAAGAUCACGUUCAGGUUCGCGUUCAGGUUCACGUUCGAGAUCGAGGUCAGGAUCUAGAUCGAAGUCAAGGUCAAAGUCGCGAUCGAAGUCAAGAUCGAGGUCGAAAUCAAAAUCACGCUCCAGAUCGCGCUCAAGGUCAAGAUCAGGUUCAGCAGUCGGAUCUAGACACUCGUCGCGUUCAAAGUCGCGAUCUAAAUCGAGAUCUAGAUCAGGCUCCAGAUCCAGAAAAUCUAGAAGUCCCAGCAGAGAUUCGGAAGGUGCUGUCAGGAAACGAAAUAGAGUACUAUCAGAUUCUGAAGAUGAUGAAGGAAAUAAAGCGAAGAAACGGUCAAGGCAUGGAUUAUCAGAUUCGGAACGCGAGGAUCAGGAAGACGAAGACGGGAAGAAAAAAGACGAUGACGCACAUCACGAAGGAGAGGGUGAAGACAAGGAACACAAACAAUUAGAUGAUGAAGCUGGAAUCAAUGACCAGAAUGAUAAUGUAGAUUCUGAUGAUGGCAUUAUUGCUGAUGGCGGAAUGAGUAGCAGAUAUUUGGAUGAUUCGCUAUCUGAUUUCGAUCGUAUGUUAGCGCGGAAAAAAGAAGAACAAUCUCGUAGACGUAAACGCAAGGACAUCGAUAUCAUUAACGAUAACGACGACAUUAUAGCACAACUGUUAUCAGAUAUGAGAGCUGCGGCCGAUGAAGAUAGAAAAUUGAACCAGCAAAAUAAACCGGCCACAAAUAAAAUCGCCAUGUUGCCGAAAGUAUUGUCGCAAUUGAAAAAGCAUGAUUUGCAAUUGGCCUUCCUAGAACACAAUGUACUGUCCGUUCUUACAGAUUGGUUGGCACCGAUGCCUGAUCGGUCGUUACCGUCUCUCAAGAUUAGAGACAGUCUUCUAAAACUCUUAUGGGAGUUCCCAAAAAUCGAUCAAGCGUCACUGAAGCAGUCUGGUAUCGGGAAGGCUGUGAUGUAUCUCUAUAAGCAUCCAAAGGAAACAAAAGAAAACAAAGAGCGUGCUGGCAAAUUGAUCAGUGAAUGGGCUCGGCCUAUUUUUAAUUUAUCCACCGAUUUUAAAACGUUGUCUAAAGAAGAGAGAUUACAGAGGGAUUUAGAACAAAGACCUCAGAAGAAAAGAAAGGCCGAUGACGCAGGGUCUUCCCAAAAAUCGCAAGAUAUCAAUAAGGCCUUGAAGGGAGAUGCUAAACCACUAAGACCAGGAGAUCCUGGAUGGGUGGGAAGAGCUAGAGUUCCUAGGCCAUCUGACAGAGAUUAUGUAAUACGACCUGACUGGAAAACAGACGUUGAUAUUACUAGGAGCGCCAAGAAACCGAUGAGCCGAUUCGAACGACACAUGAAAAACUAUAUGGACAGCAAACGAAUGAAAUCGGCCAGAAGAGCGGUGCAUAUAUCCAUAGAAGGUCGCAAAAUGUCUUUAUAAUGAUGUUUUCCUUAUCUUAUAUCUUAUACAUAGCGAGGAGAUAUUGAUAUGACUUGUAAUAAGUUUUACGAAUGCACAUUUACUGGAGAUAAACCAAUUCUUGUAGCAAAAAUGAUUUUUAUGAAAAAUCGGUGUUAACUAUUGAAAUUGUGUUGUAAAGAUAACAUGAUAAAGAAAU
Molecule: unclassified non-coding RNA, 3223 nt
Filed under: Harpegnathos saltator (Jerdon's jumping ant)
Lineage: Eukaryota; Metazoa; Arthropoda; Insecta; Hymenoptera; Formicidae
Description: iWS1-like protein, transcript variant X1
Source: RNAcentral